RNAcentral lists this ribosomal RNA (253 nucleotides) under uncultured bacterium. RNAcentral describes it as "partial 16S ribosomal RNA". It matches the Rfam family "Bacterial small subunit ribosomal RNA", at positions 524 to 776 of the family's 1533-position model. The record is from RNAcentral.
UACGAAGGGGGCUAGCGUUGUUCGGAUUUAUUGGGCGUAAAGCGCGUGUAGGCGGGUCGUUAAGUUGGGGGUGAAAUCCCGAGGCUCAACCUCGGAACUGCCUUCAAAACUGGCGACCUGGAGCAAGAUAGAGGCAAGUGGAAUUGCGAGUGUAGAGGUGAAAUUCGUAGAUAUUCGCAGGAACACCAGUGGCGAAGGCGACUUGCUGGAUCUUUGCUGACGCUGAGACGCGAAAGCGUGGUGAGCAAACGGG